RNAcentral lists this long non-coding RNA (236 nucleotides) under Hordeum vulgare. RNAcentral describes it as "long non-coding RNA (HVUL_LNC003427)". Lineage: Eukaryota; Viridiplantae; Streptophyta; Magnoliopsida; Poales; Poaceae. The record is from RNAcentral.
UUUUACGCCGUCGGGAACCUCUGUUGCCUAGAGAUCCAAUGCCGCUGCCUUUUCCGGUAAUCUGUCGGAGAGGGAAUUGAUCAUGGAGGGCAUCUACAUCAACUCCAUUGCCUCUCUGAUGAUGUGUGAGUAGUUUACCACAGACCUACGGGUCCAUAUCUAGUAGCUAGAUGGCUUCAUCUCUCUCUUUGAUCUUCAAUACCAUGUUCUUCAUGAUCUUCAUGGAGAUCUAUCCG